RNAcentral lists this ribosomal RNA (484 nucleotides) under uncultured soil bacterium. RNAcentral describes it as "bacterial SSU rRNA". It matches the Rfam family "Bacterial small subunit ribosomal RNA", at positions 26 to 523 of the family's 1533-position model. The record is from RNAcentral.
AGGAUGAACGCUGGCGGCGUGCUUAACACAUGCAAGUCAUGGGGGCCCAGCAAUGGGCAACCGGCGAACGGGUGCGUAACACGUGAGCAACCUACCCAGGUGUGGGGGAUAGCUGUCCCAACGGACGGGUAAUACCGCAUACGCUCAACACGAGGCAUUUCGAGUUGAGGAAACCUCCGGGGCACCAUGAGGGGCUCGCGGCCUAUCAGCUAGUUGGCGAGGUAACGGCUCACCAAGGCUACGACGGGUAGCUGGUCUGAGAGGAUGACCAGCCACAUUGGGACUGAGAAACGGCCCAGACUCCUACGGGAGGCAGCAGUGGGGAAUCUUGCGCAAUGGCCUAAGGCUGACGCAGCGACGCCGCGUGAGGAUGACGCUCUUCGGAGUGUAAACCUCUUUUGCCUGGAACGAACUAUCAGCUUCAGCUGAUUUGACGGUACCGGUGAAUAAGCACCGGCUAACUCCGUGCCAGCAGCCGCGGUAA